UGGGGAAUUUUGGACAAUGGGGGAAACCCUGAUCCAGCCAUCCCGCGUGUGCGAUGAAGGCCUUCGGGUUGUAAAGCACUUUUGGCAGGAAAGAAACGUCGCGGGUUAAUACCCCGCGAAACUGACGGUACCUGCAGAAUAAGCACCGGCUAACUACGUGCCAGCAGCCGCGGUAAUACGUAGGGUGCAAGCGUUAAUCGGAAUUACUGGGCGUAAAGCGUGCGCAGGCGGUUCGGAAAGAAAGAUGUGAAAUCCCAGAGCUUAACUUUGGAACUGCAUUUUUAACUACCGGGCUAGAGUGUGUCAGAGGGAGGUGGAAUUCCGCGUGUAGCAGUGAAAUGCGUAGAUAUGCGGAGGAACACCGAUGGCGAAGGCAGCCUCCUGGGAUAACACUGACGCUCAUGCACGAAAGCGUGGGGAGCAAACAGGAUUAGAUACCCUGGUAGUCCACGCCCUAAAACGAUGUCAACUAGCUGUUGGGGGCCUUCGGGCCUUGGUAGCGCAGCUAACGCGUGAAGUUGACCGCCUGGGGAGUACGGUCGCAAGAUU
Molecule: ribosomal RNA, 549 nt
Filed under: uncultured bacterium
Lineage: Bacteria
Description: partial 16S ribosomal RNA
Rfam family: Bacterial small subunit ribosomal RNA
Source: RNAcentral